AACGGUUGCUAAUACCGCAUAAUGCAGCGGCACCUAAUGGUGACCGUUGUUAAAGCGGGGGAUCGCAAGAUCUCGCGCCUGAAGAGGAGCCUGCGGCGGAUUAGCUAGUUGGUAGGGUAAUGGCCUACCAAGGCGACGAUCCGUAGCCGGCCUGAGAGGGCGGUCGGCCACACUGACACUGACAUACGGGUCAGACUCCUACGGGAGGCAGCAGUGGGGAAUUUUGGGCAAUGGGCGAAAGCCUGACCCAGCAACGCCGCGUGAAGGAUGAAAUCCCUCGGGAUGUAAACUUCGCAAGAACGGGAAGAAUAAGUUUGUGCUAAUACCGCCAGCGAUGACGGUACUGUUUGUAAGCUCAGGCUAACUCCGUGA
RNAcentral lists this ribosomal RNA (372 nucleotides) under uncultured bacterium. Its description in RNAcentral is "bacterial SSU rRNA". It matches the Rfam family "Bacterial small subunit ribosomal RNA", at positions 155 to 508 of the family's 1533-position model. The record is from RNAcentral.